Molecule: ribosomal RNA, 444 nt
Filed under: uncultured soil bacterium
Lineage: Bacteria
Description: bacterial SSU rRNA
Rfam family: Bacterial small subunit ribosomal RNA
Source: RNAcentral
AGGAUGAACGCUGGCGGCGUGCCUAAGACAUGCAAGUCGAGUGGGUUUAGGCCCACGGCAAACGGGUGAGUAAUAUCUAGGAACGUACCACUAGUUGAGCAUAACCUACCGAAAGGUAGAGCAAUUCUCAAUGUGACCGCAAGGUUAAAGUCGCAAGACGCUAGUGAAGCGGCCUGGACACCAUCAGCUUGUUGGUAAGGUAAAAGCUUACCAAGGCUAUGACGGUUAGGGGUCCCGAGAGGGAUAACCCCCACACUGGAACUGAGACACGGUCCAGACUCCUACGGGAGGCAGCAGUUUGGAAUUUUGGACAAUGGGCGAAAGCCUGAUCCAGCGACGCCGCGUGGACGAUGAAGGUCUUCGGAUCGUAAAGUCCUUUUGUAGGGAAGAAUAUUUUGACGGUACCUAAGAAUAAGAGGUUGCUAACUCUGUGCCAGCAGCCGC